GAGGAACACGUGAGAAACCUGCCUUUCAUUCUGGGAUAACACCGGGAAACCGGUGCUAAUACCGGAUACUCCAUCUUGGCGGCAUCGCCGAGCUGGGAAAAAAUUUUGAUGAAAGAUGGUCUCGCGGCCUAUCAGCUAGUUGGUGAGGUAAAGGCUCACCAAGGCGACGACGGGUAGCCGGCCUGAGAGGGUGACCGGCCACACUGGGACUGAGACACGGCCCAGACUCC
This 230-nucleotide ribosomal RNA is filed under the name uncultured bacterium. RNAcentral's name for it is "partial 16S ribosomal RNA". It matches the Rfam family "Bacterial small subunit ribosomal RNA", at positions 108 to 339 of the family's 1533-position model. The record is from RNAcentral.